CUCGUAGGCGGCCAACUAAGUCGGACGUGAAAUCCCUCGGCUUAACCGGGGAACUGCGUGUGAUACUGGAUGGCUUGAGUUUGGGAGAGGGAUGCGGAAUUCCAGGUGUAGCGGUGAAAUGCGUAGAUAUCUGGAGGAACACCGGUGGCGAAGGCGGCAUCCUGGACCAAUACUGACGCUGAGGAGCGAAAGCCAGGGGAGCAAACG
This 207-nucleotide ribosomal RNA is filed under the name uncultured bacterium. Its description in RNAcentral is "partial 16S ribosomal RNA". It matches the Rfam family "Bacterial small subunit ribosomal RNA", at positions 568 to 774 of the family's 1533-position model. The record is from RNAcentral.